Molecule: ribosomal RNA, 510 nt
Filed under: uncultured bacterium
Lineage: Bacteria
Description: partial 16S ribosomal RNA
Rfam family: Bacterial small subunit ribosomal RNA
Source: RNAcentral
GACGAACGCUGGCGGCGUGCUUAACACAUGCAAGUCGAACGAAGAGCGAUGGAAGCUUGCUUCUAUCAAUCUUAGUGGCGAACGGGUGAGUAACGCGUAAUCAACCUGCCCUUCAGAGGGGGACAACAGUUGGAAACGACUGCUAAUACCGCAUACGAUCUAAUCUCGGCAUCGAGGAUAGAUGAAAGGUGGCCUCUACAUGUAAGCUAUCACUGAAGGAGGGGAUUGCGUCUGAUUAGCUAGUUGGAGGGGUAUCGGCCCACCAAGGCGAUGAUCAGUAGCCGGUCUGAGAGGAUGAACGGCCACAUUGGGACUGAGACACGGCCCAGACUCCUACGGGAGGCAGCAGUGGGGAAUCUUCCGCAAUGGACGAAAGUCUGACGGAGCAACGCCGCGUGAGCGAUGACGGCCUUCGGGUUGUAAAGCUCUGUUAAUCGGGACGAAAGGCCUUCUUGCGAAUAGUGAGAAGGAUUGACGGUACCGGAAAAGAAAGCCACGGCUAACUACGUG